Molecule: unclassified non-coding RNA, 378 nt
Filed under: uncultured fungus
Lineage: Eukaryota; Fungi
Description: partial contains 5.8S ribosomal RNA and internal transcribed spacer 2
Rfam family: 5.8S ribosomal RNA (bases 1-133)
Source: RNAcentral
UGGCUCUCGCAUCGAUGAAGAACGCAGCGAAAUGCGAUAAGUAAUGUGAAUUGCAGAAUUCAGUGAAUCAUCGAAUCUUUGAACGCAUCUUGCGCUCCUUGGUAUUCCGAGGAGCAUGCCUGUUUGAGUGUUAUUAAUCUCUCAACCACACCAAUCUUUUUGGCUUGGUGUGGCUUUUGGAUGUGGGGGUUUUAUUUUGCUGGCUCCUAUCAAAUGAGGUCAGCUCCCCUGAAACUUAUUAGCGGUAUCUGAGCAGAGAGACCUACUACAGGUGUGAUAAAUUAUCUAUGCCUUGGUCAUACUGCAUGAACAGAUUGUGCUGCUUCCAGUGAAUCAUUUGACAAUUUUGACCUCAAAUCAGGUAGGACUACCCGCUGA